RNAcentral lists this ribosomal RNA (349 nucleotides) under Sericoceros nr. tannuus SS1. Its description in RNAcentral is "partial 16S ribosomal RNA". Lineage: Eukaryota; Metazoa; Arthropoda; Insecta; Hymenoptera; Argidae. The record is from RNAcentral.
AUAAUAAUUAGUCUUUUAAUUGAAGGCUAGAAUGAAUGAUUGAAUGAGGUAAUUACUGUCUCAUAAAAAUUUUUAUUGAAUUUAAUUUUUAAGUUAAAAAGCUUAAAUUUUAUUAAAGGACGAGAAGACCCUAUAGAGCUUUAUAUUAAAUUUUAUUAAUAAUUUAAAUUUUUAUUAUAAGUAAAUUUAAUAUUUUAUUGGGGCGAUAGGAAAAUUAAAAUAACUUUUUUAUAUUAAAUACAUUAAUUUAUGAAUUAUUGAUCCUUUUUAUUAAAGAUUAUUAGAUUAAGUUACCUUAGGGAUAACAGCGUUAUUUUUUUUUAGAGUUCAUAUUGAUAAAAAAGAUUGC